AACAGCAGACCUUGAGAAUGCCUUCUUCCAUUUGUAGACACACAGUUACUACGAUAAAUAUUAAUGUAAGAGAAGCCAUAGUAAGAUUUCUGAAGCAAUUCGAAGUACUUACGAAAAUUAUUAUUUCAUCGUGUUUCGGUUGUGCGAGUGUUUUGGAGAGACAGAGUGAAUGGAUCGCAUAUGUUAAGUGAGUUUUAUCACCUGAAGAUAUGAUUACAAUAUUGCGAAGCCAGUCAUGUAUAAUCUGGUAAUAAAGGAUUAUCAACAGCUAAUGCAAUUUCCAGAUUUUUUUUAGAAGAUUUUAACAAAAAAAAUUGACAGAAAUUUUUAACAUGUGUCAACUAAGCCCACAGUGUAAAGUCAUACAUUUUCUGCUGUUAUGAAUAUGAGUGGGAUCAGCACACAAGUAAUUUAUUGUGGAAACAACAGGAAUUUUAUUAGAAGAAAAAGAUACCUGAAACAACAGUCUCAUGCAUUAGUUAUAGCUCACUUGGACUGAAGAAUCUUGGACACCACAGAAAUUCAUAGGUAUCUUCAACGGAGAC
Schistocerca piceifrons (Central American locust) is the source of this 545-nucleotide long non-coding RNA. RefSeq lists it as uncharacterized. Lineage: Eukaryota; Metazoa; Arthropoda; Insecta; Orthoptera; Acrididae. The record is from RefSeq and is a predicted model, not a curated record. The transcript is spliced from 3 exons.